CAUGAACACCCUGUGCAAGGCCUGAAGACGAAGUGUCGGGGAGGCUUCACACCACACUGCGCCACUGUCGGGGGCUACGCCUGCUGCACGAGGACGCGCAUGCGGCCCCAGCACGGGUCUCCGUGCACCGCAGCUUCAAACGCUCUCCAGGCCCGUUGGUCUUUUGGGUUCUGUGACAGUCGACGUGGAGAUGCACAGUUAUCACAGGGAUGAGGCCAGGCUGACACCACUGACAGCGCGGGACCCGUUCGCCAAGCCAUUCAGACAGGCUAGGAAUUAAACUGAGUCUUUGACCCCAGCUCCCCGUGCUGUCCCCACGGCCGCCUGGGUGAGGGCUGCGGUUCCAUUCUGCCCACUGAGCACUGCUGUCCACACGGUGGAGACCCUCAGGCCCGUACAGGACCAGCCAUGUCCAUAUCCAUUGCCUGGGCUCCCUAUGUGUCCCCCGGUCCCACCGCAGAGGGAGAAAGCCACCCCAUAGCCCCUGGACAGUCUGUUGUGUACACACACUCACAG
This 516-nucleotide long non-coding RNA is filed under the name Fukomys damarensis (Damara mole-rat). RNAcentral's name for it is "lncRNA (ENSFDAG00000028421.1)". Lineage: Eukaryota; Metazoa; Chordata; Mammalia; Rodentia; Bathyergidae. The record is from RNAcentral.